GGCAAUUUUGUAAAAUCCACGCACCCCUAUCUUCUUCUCUUCUUUGUCCUCUCACAAUUCCACCUUACACCACCAUUCUUCUCACCACCACCACCACCACCAUCCUCCUCUGUUGUUGUUCUCUACAGACCUCGAAGUGACGAUGCUGGUGAGAUGAUUGACGACUGGAUCUGAAACGAAGACCACGAGAGAUGACUGACGACUGGAUCUGAAACGAAGACCACGAGAGAUGACGAAAGUGAGAGAUCGAAAAUCCAGUCAUCGCCGUGAUAUUUAAAAUUCAGUCAAUCACCAUCACUAUUAGUCUUUUCCAUUAGACACAUCCUAACUUACGGCGGACGGUGGUUGUUGUGGUGGCGUUUUUACACUGGGAGCUUUGAAGAAGACAAUUGAAGAGGAAGGAGAUGGUGGUUACAACCACCGAGAGAGAAG
This 432-nucleotide long non-coding RNA is filed under the name Medicago truncatula (barrel medic). RNAcentral describes it as "long non-coding RNA (MTRU_LNC008593)". The record is from RNAcentral. Lineage: Eukaryota; Viridiplantae; Streptophyta; Magnoliopsida; Fabales; Fabaceae.